Molecule: long non-coding RNA, 725 nt
Filed under: Anas platyrhynchos platyrhynchos (common mallard)
Lineage: Eukaryota; Metazoa; Chordata; Aves; Anseriformes; Anatidae
Description: lncRNA (ENSAPLG00000017726.1)
Source: RNAcentral
UUUCUCUCCCAUGUUCAUAAACACUUGAACAAUGAAAUUCUCAAGUCUGGUGCUCCUACUUAGUGAUGCUUGUGUCUCAUGCUGCUGUGCUGCAUCUAAGCUUAGCUGCAUGAUGUUGUAGAUGCAGAAAUUACUUAACCCGGUGCUGCAAGUGUGACUGCAUGAUCAGGCUGCAAGGCAAAGUGACUAAGUCCUCUUCUGCUCAUUUUGGAAUUGAGAGUUCAAGCCACUUGUCACUUCCAACCUACUGGGUUGCUUCUCAGCUCUUGAACUGUACAUGGAGAUUCCUAAUUCUUCAAGAGAAGAAAUUCUGGAUGCAUGUGUGUGCUCUGACUGUGUCUUCUGAACAAAGGCAAAGGGCCUCCCUAAAGCCUUGGUCUCCAUGUCCUGAGGAGCACUGGCUGAAAUGCAUUUGAACUCAUGUCCUGGAUGAUCAUCUGAGAAGGGGAUUCCUCUCUGCAGUCAAGAACCAUAUGAGCUAACAAAUAUCAUGUUAUGGAAGAACUUUGCUCACAGUCAUAGUUGACUUUCUGUUAUGAAACCUGAUUAUAUUAUUCAAUUUUCUUGGAGAAAGGCCUCAGUCUUACUGAAUUCUUUUUUUGACUUUUCUUACUCUCUGUUCAGAAAUUUUUGUUAUUGUAUGCAUUAAACAUCACAUGUUGCAAAAUAGGCAUGUAUAUUAAAUUAAAAAUAAAUAAAUCAAUAAAACAGGUAUGGUAGUGUAC